Molecule: RNA transcript, 3326 nt
Organism: Athene cunicularia (burrowing owl)
Lineage: Eukaryota; Metazoa; Chordata; Aves; Strigiformes; Strigidae
Gene: DPP8
Gene name: dipeptidyl peptidase 8
Exons: 19
Source: RefSeq, a predicted model, not a curated record
UGCAACAUGGCAGCAGCCAUGGAAACUGAACAGCCGGGCCUUGAAAUCUUUGAAACUGCGGGCCGCGAGGAGCAGGUCCAGAGAGAGGAGCAACCAAAACUGGAACCUUUCUAUGUAGAGAGACAUUCCUGGAGCCAGCUUCGGAAACUCCUCACAGAUACACGGAAGUAUCAUGGGUACAUGAUGGCAAAAGCCCCUCAUGAUUUCACAUUUGUGAAGAAAAAUGACCCUGAAGGACCUCAUUCUGAUAGAAUAUACUAUCUGGCAAUGUCUGGGGAGAACAGGGAGAACACGCUCUUCUACUCUGAGAUUCCCAAAACCAUAAACAAAGCUGCCGCCUUGUUGCUUUCCUGGAAGCCUCUUUUGGAUCUUUUUCCGGCCAUCCUGGACUAUGGGAUGUACUCUCGUGAAGAGGAGUUGCUACGGGAGAGGAAGCGAAUUGGCACCAUUGGGAUUGCUUCUUACGAUUACCACCGGGAAAGUGGCACCUUUCUGUUUCAGGCUGGGAGCGGAAUUUAUCACGUAAAAGAUGGAGGCCCUCACGGAUUCACUCAACAGCCUUUAAGACCCAUUCUGGUAGAGACCAGUUGUCCAAAUAUCCGUAUGGAUCCCAAGCUUUGUCCAGCUGAUCCAAAUUGGAUUGCAUUUAUCCAUAGCAAUGACAUCUGGAUAUCUAAUAUAGAAACCAGAGAAGAAAGAAGGCUAACAUUUGUGCACAAUGAACUGGCCAAUGUCGAAGAGGAUCCAAAAUCUGCUGGUGUGGCUACUUUUGUGCUGCAGGAGGAGUUUGACAGAUACACUGGCUACUGGUGGAGCCCAAAGGCACAGCCAACACUGAGUGGGGGUAAAGUUCUUCGAAUUCUUUAUGAAGAAAAUGAUGAGUCAGAGGUGGAAAUUAUUCAUGUCACAUCACCCAUGCUGGAGACAAGAAGAACGGAUUCCUUCCGGUACCCCAAAACUGGUACAGCAAAUCCAAAGGUCACUUUCAAGAUAUCUGAAGUGACAAUCAAUGUGGAAGGCAGAAUUGCAGAUGUUGUGGAUAAAGAGCUAGUUCAGCCGUUCGAGAUCCUCUUUGAAGGAGUAGAGUACAUUGCUAGAGCUGGGUGGACGCCAGAAGGAAAAUACAUCUGGUCCAUCUUACUGGAUCGCUCCCAAACUCGGCUUCAGAUAGUCUUGAUCCCUCCUGCAUUAUUCAUCCCCACAGAAGAUGAUGCAAUGGAAAGACAGAAACUUAUCGAUGCUGUACCAGAUUCUGUUACACCUUUCAUUAUUUAUGAAGAAACAACAGACAUCUGGAUAAAUAUCCAUGAUAUCUUCUAUGUUUUCCCUCAAACCCAUGAAGAUGAGAUAGAGUUCAUUUUUGCCUCUGAGUGUAAAACAGGAUUCCGACACCUAUACAAAGUCAUCUCAGUUUUGAAGGAGAGCAAGUACAAACGGUCAUGUGGAGGCCUCCCUGCUCCAAGUGACUUCAAGUGCCCCAUCAAAGAGGAGAUAGCGAUUACCAGUGGAGAAUGGGAAGUGCUAGGCAGACAUGGAUCCAAUAUCUAUGUUGAUGAAGCCAAAAAACUGGUGUACUUUCAAGGCACAAAAGACUCGCCUUUAGAGCAUCACUUGUACGUUGUUAACUACGAGAAUCCUGGAGAAGUAAAGCGGCUGACAGAACAUGGUUACUCUCACGCCUGCUGUGUCAGCCAGGAUUGUGACAUGUUCAUCAGCAAGUACAGUAAUCAGAAGAACCCACACUGUGUGUCACUUUACCGGCUGACAGGACCUGAAGAUGAUGCAGCUCACAGGACAAAGGAAUUCUGGGCUACCAUUUUAGAUUCAGCAGGCCCUCUUCCUGAUUACAUUCCCCCAGAGGUGUUCUCCUUCGAGAGCUCCACAGGGUUUACACUCUAUGGGAUGAUGUACAAACCUCACAAUCUGCAACCUGGAAAGAAGUACCCCACUGUGCUCUUCAUCUAUGGCGGGCCUCAGGUACAGUUAGUGAACAAUCGGUUUAAAGGAAUCAAGUAUUUCCGUUUGAACACUUUGGCCUCUUUAGGCUACGUAGUUGUUGUCAUUGACAACAGGGGGUCCUGCCACCGAGGGCUGAAGUUUGAAGGAGCCUUUAAAUACAAAAUGGGACAAAUAGAAAUUGAUGACCAGGUGGAAGGGCUGCAGUAUUUAGCAUCCCAGUAUGACUUCAUCGAUCUGGAUCGUGUUGGCAUUCACGGCUGGUCCUAUGGAGGCUACCUCUCUCUUAUGGCUUUAAUGCAGAGGUUGCCAUUGCUGGAGCACCCGUCACGCUGUGGAUUUUUUAUGACACUGGUUACACGGAGCGUUACAUGGGCCACCCGGAUCACAACGAGCAGGGCUAUUACCUAGGAUCGGUGGCCAUGCAAGCCGAGAAGUUUCCUUCUGAACCAAACCGUUUGCUGCUGCUACACGGAUUCUUGGAUGAGAAUGUUCACUUUGCACACACUAGUAUUUUGCUCAGCUUUUUAGUGAGAGCUGGGAAACCGUAUGAUUUACAGAUCUACCCUCAGGAGAGGCACAGUAUAAGGGUACCUGAGUCGGGAGAGCACUAUGAACUCCAUCUACUGUAUUACCUGCAAGAGAACCUGGGCUCUCGGAUUGCUGCCCUGAAGGCAAUGUAACUGACCUCUGCAGAACUCUGCUCCACUGGCUGCUUUACUGACCGAGAUGUAGGAAAAUAGAGGAAACGGGAUGGAACAUUGCAUUUUGGUGCCUGCCACAUGUACACACACACACAAAUGGAGACACUUUUUUAAAAGUAAAUUUGGUGCCAUACAGGAAAUUAAAGUACGGUGACCUAACAACUUUAAAGCUUAAUAUGUAAAUAAAGUCACACGUCUGUGGUAUAAUGCAGUACCAUGGUUGUUCUCUUGGGGGAGGAGUUGAAACUGAGAACAAUGUACUUCUACAGCACCAGAUCUUCACUUUUUAAAAAUAUUAUGACAUAACUGAUGUAUUUUUACAGUGUGUUCCUUGGUAUCUGAUUACAUAAUACUGGAUGAUUUACUCACUACACAGCAAGAGUUUACCUGAAUGGUUACAACUUGUAUUACAUUUUAAAUGCUCUCAUAUAGCCUUUUGGCUUCAUGAAUGGGAUGUGUCUCACUCCUUAGAAGCUGGUCACAAGUUAGACACAUCACCUAUCUAGGUGAUAAUUGUUUUUUAAGACGGACAACUUUUAAGCUGCCUCAUAAAGAAUUUAAAUUUUGGGUUCAGUUUAGUUGAUGCCAGGUUCUUUUUGAUGAUUUCUUCUCUCCCCAGGAUAAAUCAUACUCUUUCUUUUCUUUUUUUUUCUUUUUUUUUCUUUU